Molecule: long non-coding RNA, 1129 nt
Organism: Chelonoidis abingdonii (Abingdon island giant tortoise)
Lineage: Eukaryota; Metazoa; Chordata; Testudines; Testudinidae
Source: RefSeq, a predicted model, not a curated record
CCUGUGAGACACCACCAGAGGAUGGCAGUGGCAUCUGGAGGAGGAUUGGAGCUAGCUGAAAGAAGUCCUGCAGAGGGAAGCUAGCAGUGGAGCUGCACCUUGGUAGUCAGAUACAUCAUAGGAACUGGUGAUGGAAGCUUCCCAAUGCCUCUCACUACAGUCUGUCAACCCUCACCUCGAGGGACUAUGGAAAUGAUCCAAUACAGUGAAAUCAACAGGAGCCUUUCCAUUGCAUUCCAUGGGCACUGGAUCAAACCCUACAACAAAACAUCCAAACUACAGACAGACCGUGGGCUUGAUGUAUUGUGGCACCUAUGUUGAUACAUACUAUCUGAUGAUCUUGCCUACAUAUGAAUAUCAAUCCCCUUUAUGGGGUGCUUUUUGUGAUACAAGCAAGGCUGCAGUGCUACUUGCAGUGAAUAGCUUGCUUUCUUCAAGCCACAAGAAACUGUCACAUCUGCCAACCUUCAGCAAACUGAGCAGGGACUGUUAUUCAUUUUAGUGCCCAACUGCAUAAUAUUUAUCCUGGUUAUAAUAUUCUCUAUUACCACUGAAAAUAUUUGGCUCCCAAAAGAAGAAAAAAAGGAAUUGUGUCAAAGGUCCAAAUUCCUCCCUGAGAUGUGAAUCAUUUUCAGUGACGUUAAUGGGAGCUGUGCACAUGACUUUCUAGGUGGAAUCUGACUCCAAAGCCCACCCAUCUAUACUGGAUUUUUUCAGCAGGUCUUUUUCAUAUUAGUGUAUUAAACAUACUUUAAUCUCAAUGGACUGAAUCUUUGGGCCCUUUUGCAUCUGCUUUGGAUGGUGGUGACAUGCAAAGGAAAUGAAGAACUGCACUAAAGGGAAGGCUGAGAAUUUUUUCUGACAGGGAAUCCUCAAGUGGCGCAAACCUAGUGUAGCUGGUUCUACAUCUCCUGCUCGCCCCCUGCCACAUCGGAGCCUGUUGGAAUAAUGUCUGGUGUUCCAUUAGAUCUGCAGCGUCCUAACUCAGAACAUCUUCAGGCUGUUCUAAGAAACACUAAGAGUUGUUUUGGUCCCAGACUAGGGCGACCAGAUGUACUGUUUUUAUAGUGACAGUCCCGUGUUUUGAGACUUUUUCUUAUAUAGACACCUACUGACCUCCACCCCCUGU